Molecule: long non-coding RNA, 1169 nt
Filed under: Gadus morhua (Atlantic cod)
Lineage: Eukaryota; Metazoa; Chordata; Actinopteri; Gadiformes; Gadidae
Description: lncRNA (ENSGMOG00000036621.1)
Source: RNAcentral
GCGCCUGAUCGUGCAAAAGUUUGUAUAUCUGAAAUAUACCUCUCCCCUAUAUUUGGUAUGGUUUGGCCUAUAGGGUGCACUAUAUUCAGCCCCUGUUGGGGGAACAUUCUGCUGUAUAGACAUCAUUUAACUUGAUGAAUAUCUUUGCGCCUUGAAUCAUCAUGUCCAUCUGGAAUUUUUUAUCAGUACUCAACACCACUUGAGAAUGAACCAAGGCCUUGAAACUGUCUGUGAAAGGCUCCUAAAAUGACGAAAGCGUCAAUUAAAAUAAUGCUAAGCUAAGCACUAAUGCUCAAAGUCACAAAUAAACAGCAACUCCUCUUACAGCACGACUCGGCUUUAGGUUGGGAAGGACAUCCGCUGGGAUUGGCAAUGUGUGGACUACUAAUAUAUAUCAAGACUGCUUCAGUUUUAUAUUUACUUUUGUUUCCUUGGCUUUAAGAUGCCUGUUUGAACGUGUGUGUGUGUGUGUGGGUGUGUGUGUGUGUGUGUGUUUGUCCAGGUGUGCUGAGUUCAGCGACGUGUGUGAGGACGUGCUGUUGAACACACUGCAGAAUCUCAUGAUGGAGGCGUUCCACAGAGAGCUGGACCUGACUGCCCCUCCCCCCCCCCCCCCCCCAGCAGCGAUGACAUCAGUGUCUCCAGGAGGGGAGAUGGUUCAUGAGGGCCAAGGCCAACAAUGAACGGGCCAAUUGGAGAGAGAGCAACCGAGGAAAAGCAGCACAAACCAGUAGGGGCUUUACAUCUCCCCACCUCACCUGCUGCAUUUUAUAUUAUUUCGUAGUUCUUCCAAUUAAAUAAGACGAUUUUGACAAAGUGUAUUUUUUGUCUUGGUUAAGUAGAUGGAUAUUUGUCUGGAGGUGUAUUAUUUUAAUCGUUUGAGCUCAUAAAAUCCCGGCAUGUAAUUUACAUAUAUUUAAACUAGAUGGCGCUGUAUGCCAACAAACGGAACGGGGCUGAUUUGAUUGAUCUUUAUGCUGUUAGCUGAAGCCUCGUGAAGCCAUAUUGAUCUGCAGAGUUAAGCAGAAUGUGAACUCGCAAGAUAGUGAUGUUCUCAAAACUAUGCUAUAUCGGCACAAAUUAUACAUAAAUAUUCGAAAUGUAUUCAUGACAUUUAAUCAAUUGUCAAUGAGUUUAUUCAAAUGUAAACUUAUUUCAGAAAUGGUGAC